UUACAAUUAGCUUAGCUGGCUAGAGCAUGGUACUAAUAACACCAAGCUUGUGGGAUCAAGCCCCAUACAGGCCA
This 74-nucleotide transfer RNA is filed under the name Lamprotornis superbus. RNAcentral's name for it is "tRNA-OTHER". The record is from RNAcentral. Lineage: Eukaryota; Metazoa; Chordata; Aves; Passeriformes; Sturnidae.